Long non-coding RNA from Neofelis nebulosa (Clouded leopard), 1300 nucleotides. RefSeq lists it as uncharacterized. The transcript is spliced from 3 exons. The record is from RefSeq and is a predicted model, not a curated record. NCBI's taxonomy places the organism in Eukaryota, Metazoa, Chordata, Mammalia, Carnivora, Felidae.
CUGCCUUGGCUGGGGUAGAAGCGGCUAACGUUGACACAGGCCGCGUCGCAGCCUCGCCUCGGGGUCGGAAGCGUCCGCCGCGUCCUCCUUCCCUUCUCGAGCCGUCUUCGAGGACGCUUCCCAGACGGGUCCCCACAGCGCCCGGAGGGGAGCCCACGGCUCCUCAGCACGCACCCCUCCUCCGCGCGGGGUUCUCACGCACAGCCUCUCCUGCCAUCAUCACAUCUGUUUUCACGACGGGACUGCUAUUUACUUGUCACCGUCUUCCUCCCCUGGAGUAGAACCACCACCAUCGGGAGGAACAUGUCUGCCCGCUGACCAGGGAGCAGACACUCGGUACAGGUCUGCUGGGCAAAUAAACAAAUCCCCUUGAACCUGUAUGAAGAAAGACCAUGAGGGCAUAACAACUUCUAAGACUCCUCGGAGGGCACUGCAAGUAUCCCACUCCUGACCUGUGGACUGGGUAGCAGGAGGGCAAAUGCAAAUUCUGAAGGAUCUCACUUGGAAGCCCACGCUGAGUUCACGCAGUGUGAUGAGUGAUGUGCACAACCUGGGAAAGGGAAGGGACGCAGGUGCCCACAGGAGUCUGCCUGCUCAAGCAGCCGGGGACCUCAGCGCCUCCUUGCAAAAUUGGCCUCUCAGAGCCCAUGGGGCUCGGGCCAAAGAAGAGGGCUGGCUGCCAUUUAUUUGCCACCCAAACAACCAAGAGAGAAAAGCAGGUAACUAGAUUUCUUUCCCUCUGGAUUUUGAUUUUAGCAGAAAGAGACAAACCACAAACGACCGAACAAUGAUCUGGCAUUGAUUCACACCGACAACUGGGUCACCUGGGCCUUCGUAGUCUCCAGGUACAGCAUCCCUUCCUGUCGGGGCCACCACAUGGGGUUCAAGGACACCUAUGGUACUUAGUCCUCUACUUAGAGCACCAAAAGGAUGCCAGGUGCCAAGUACAUGCGUGGUGUUCUAAUUCUUUAACCUGAGUUGCUCUGUGGCUGAUCCACCUACAUGGUGACAUCAGAGCAAGUAGUGAGCUCCCCCAGCACUGGACCGGCUGGGUUCAAGUCAACGUUCUUCAUUCCCCAGGGCACAUUCAACACAACUGUACUCGCUCCACCACUGUGCACACUCAGCGCCUGCCCUGGGCAAGAGGCUCUCUGACCCAGUGAAUAUGUUUGGCUAGAAAUGCCCUAAAGUUAACUUUGUAAAAGGGGGAGAAAGAUAUUUAUGGUAGGAAAAUAAAAUUCACGGUUUUGUUUCUUUCAAAAAAAUAAAGUCUUCUUACCUAAUGACAAGUACUACAAAA